AACGCACAUUGCGCCCUUUGGUAUUCCUUAGGGCAUGCCUGUUCGAGCGUCAUAAAACCCCUCAAGCACCGCUUGGUGUUGGGCGUUUGUCCUGCCUCCGGCUGGGACUCGCCCCGAAUCCAUUGGCGGCCCCCGCAUUGGGCUAUCGAGCGCAGCAGAACCUUUGCGCCUCGGGCACAGCGCGUGGGCGACCAACGAGCAACCCCAACCAUUUUUGACCUCGGAUCAGGUAGGGAUACCCGCUGAACUUAA
Molecule: unclassified non-coding RNA, 252 nt
Filed under: uncultured fungus
Lineage: Eukaryota; Fungi
Description: partial contains 5.8S ribosomal RNA, internal transcribed spacer 2, and large subunit ribosomal RNA
Source: RNAcentral